This 430-nucleotide ribosomal RNA is filed under the name uncultured bacterium. RNAcentral describes it as "partial 16S ribosomal RNA". It matches the Rfam family "Bacterial small subunit ribosomal RNA", at positions 29 to 507 of the family's 1533-position model. The record is from RNAcentral.
ACGAACGCUGGCGGCAGGCUUAACACAUGCAAGUCGAACGCCCCGCAAGGGGAGUGGCAGACGGGUGAGUAACGCGUGGGAACAUACCCUUUUCUACGGAAUAGCUCUGGGAAACUGGAAUUAAUACCGUAUACGCCCUACGGGGGAAAGAUUUAUCGGGGAAGGAUUGGCCCGCGUUGGAUUAGCUAGUUGGUGGGGUAAAGGCCUACCAGGGCGACGAUCCAUAGCUGGUCUGAGAGGAUGAUCAGCCACAUUGGGACUGAGACACGGCCCAAACUCCUACGGGAGGCAGCAGUGGGGAAUAUUGGACAAUGGGCGCAAGCCUGAUCCAGCCAUGCCGCGUGAGUGAUGAAGGCCUUAGGGUUGUAAAGCUCUUUCACCGAUGAAGAUAAUGACGGUAGUCGGAGAAGAAGCCCCGGCUAACUUCGUG